GCUUUGUUCUAUUUGUUGGUAUCACUGUAUUUGAAAAGAAACGCAGUUUGGCAGCCUGCGAGUAAUAUUGUGUAUCAGAAAAGUACUACAGGAAUCAUUAACGCUAUGUCACUGUCGUGGUUCUUUAGUAAUAAGAAGAAGACUUCUGAUACAGAGCUACCAGAGAAUGCUACAGAGUCACAUAGUGAUGACUACGUUUUUGUAGAUAAAAAAGAAGAUACGCAAAGUGACAGCAGAUAUGGUGGACACUGCCACUACCCCGAAUUACCGUAUUCACUUGUUCCAGACUCUAGUAAAGCUCCCCCGAAUUCUUCCACUAAUAGCACAUUGAACGUUCCUCAGAAUCAAAAUUUUCUAUAUGGAGUACCAUUUAAGCUAACAGUAGAUAACGGUUCGUUUAUAUAUAAUUCAGUGAAUGGAAGUAGGAUUCAUGCUAAUGACGUCUUAUCACAUAUAUUGCAGUUAAAUUUGGAAUCAUUUGAAUAUGAUUUUCAGGUAGAAAAAAGUAUGGUGCUCUAAGUUUGAGAUAUUAGGGUUAAUCAGAAGCACACUGUUCUUUUAGCAACUUUUUCAGAUUUUUCAGCUAGUGGAUGAGUAUAGAGAUGUGUUAAUUGCACAGAAUAUAAAAUUAGCAUUAGAGGGCUGUGAGAACUCGAGAUUCUCAACACCGUGCUGAAAAUUUCAGGUUUGAGAUGAGCGAGAUGCAUUGCAGAUUUGUCUGCAUACCAUUCGCUUCUCUCAUCUCUGACAAAUAAAAUGUUGUUAAUGUAAAGAAUACCAGACUCCCAUUGUGGUUCCAAUCCUACAUUAAACUUUGCCAGCUACUAUCAUCAUAAUGGCAUCCACCUGUUGAGAGCCCAUGCUGAAGAAUUUGACUCUUCCUAUUCCAGAGGUUGGCACAGGCAAAAAACAUCAACCUGAAGAUAAUUGAAGGAUUAGCCAUGACACAGCUUAACUUAGCUUUGUUUCUUUGCCUGUCAUGCUACAAUAUCUGCUGCUUUUUCAUUUUGUUGCUUUCAUAAGCACAGACUAUUCAUGAGGACCACAGGAAUAGCUCAAUGAAGAGAGUGGCUGGGCAGGAAUUUCAUGUUCACCGCUGCAUUCAAACUAGCUAUGUGUGCAGUUUUACUUCCAUUCCUUCACACAUCAUAAUGUGACACUGAAGCAGUGAUUUAUUUGAUAUGUAAUAGCAUUAAUGUACCUGAGAAAGUGGUUGGACCCUAUAGCACAUAGUGCUCAUGUUAUUGUUUUUACUGGAACUGAAAAAGUUUUACUAAAUGUGCUCAGAUGUCAGUCAGAUUCUUACUGUGUGUUUUAAAUGAUUUAUUUUGUAAAUGUGUUUUUCAUGAUUAAACUGAGUUCCAAGAUA
This is a non-coding RNA of Zootermopsis nevadensis, 1369 nucleotides long. Lineage: Eukaryota; Metazoa; Arthropoda; Insecta; Blattodea; Termopsidae. The record is from RefSeq and is a predicted model, not a curated record.